Molecule: ribosomal RNA, 438 nt
Filed under: uncultured crenarchaeote
Lineage: Archaea; Thermoproteati; Thermoproteota
Description: partial 16S ribosomal RNA
Rfam family: Archaeal small subunit ribosomal RNA
Source: RNAcentral
GGGGUGCAGCAGGCGCGAAAACUUCACACUGUGCGAAAGCACGAUGAGGGAAUCCCAAGUGCUGNCUCGUAAGAGUCAGCUGUUUUUCUGUCUAGAAACCAGAGAGAGUAAGAGCUGGGUAAGACGGGUCCCAGCCGCCGCGGUAAUACCUGCANCUCAAGUGGUGGCCGCUAUUAUUGGGCCUAAAACNUUCGUAGCCGGUUUAGUAAAUGCCUGGGUAAAUCCUNCGGCUUAACCGUNCGAAUUCCGGGUAGACUGCUGGACUUGGGACUGGGAGAGGCUAGAGGUANUCCUGGGGUAGAGGUGAAAUUCUGUAAUCCUAGGGGGACNACCAGUGGCGAAGGCGUUUAGCUAGAACANGUCUGACGGUGAGGAACGAAACCNUGGGGNGCAAACGGGAUUAGAUACCCCGGUAGUCCAGGGUGUAACACGCUUGCU